AACGAACGCUGGCGGCAGGCCUAACACAUGCAAGUCGAGCGCGCCCUUCGGGGUGAGCGGCGGACGGGUGAGUAACGCGUGGGAACGUGCCCUUUUCUACGGCAUAGCCUCGGGAAACUGAGAGUAAUACCGUAUACGCCCUUUGGGGGAAAGAUUUAUCGGAAAAGGAUCGGCCCGCGUUGGAUUAGGUAGUUGGUGGGGUAAUGGCCUACCAAGCCGACGAUCCAUAGCUGGUUUGAGAGGAUGAUCAGCCACACUGGGACUGAGACACGGCCCAGACUCCUACGGGAGGCAGCAGUGGGGAAUCUUAGACAAUGGGGGCAACCCUGAUCUAGCCAUGCCGCGUGAGUGAUGAAGGCCUUAGGGUUGUAAAGCGCUUUCAGCUGGGAAGAUAAUGACGGUACCAGCAGAAGAAGCCCCGGCUAACUCCGUG
This 433-nucleotide ribosomal RNA is filed under the name uncultured bacterium. RNAcentral's name for it is "partial 16S ribosomal RNA". It matches the Rfam family "Bacterial small subunit ribosomal RNA", at positions 29 to 507 of the family's 1533-position model. The record is from RNAcentral.